GAGCCGCUAGCUCAGUUGGUAGAGCAUCUGACUUUUAAUCAGAGGGUCGGGGGUUCGAUUCCCCCGCGGCUCACCA
This 76-nucleotide transfer RNA is filed under the name Candidatus Fermentibacterota bacterium. RNAcentral describes it as "Candidatus Fermentibacteria bacterium tRNA-Lys". It matches the Rfam family "tRNA". From Rfam's summary of the family: Transfer RNA (tRNA) molecules are approximately 80 nucleotides in length. Their secondary structure includes four short double-helical elements and three loops (D, anti-codon, and T loops). RNAcentral also lists the same sequence under 2 other names. Lineage: Bacteria; Pseudomonadati; Candidatus Fermentibacterota. The record is from RNAcentral.